This 481-nucleotide ribosomal RNA is filed under the name uncultured bacterium. RNAcentral describes it as "partial 16S ribosomal RNA". It matches the Rfam family "Bacterial small subunit ribosomal RNA", at positions 28 to 507 of the family's 1533-position model. The record is from RNAcentral.
GAUGAACGCUGGCGGCGUGCUUAACACAUGCAAGUCGAACGAAGCAUUUAGGACAGAUUACUUCGGUUUGAAGUUCUUUAUGACUGAGAGGCGGACGGGUGAGUAACGCGUGGGUAACCUGCCUUGUACUGGGGGAUAGCAGCUGGAAACGGCUGGUAAUACCGCAUAAGCGCACAAUGUUGCAUGACAUGGUGUGAAAAACUCCGGUGGUAUAAGAUGGACCCGCGUCUGAUUAGCUAGUUGGUGAGAUAACAGCCCACCAAGGCGACGAUCAGUAGCCGACCUGAGAGGGUGACCGGCCACAUUGGGACUGAGACACGGCCCAGACUCCUACGGGAGGCAGCAGUGGGGAAUAUUGCACAAUGGAGGAAACUCUGAUGCAGCGACGCCGCGUGAGUGAAGAAGUAAUUCGUUAUGUAAAGCUCUAUCAGCAGGGAAGAUAGUGACGGUACCUGACGAAGAAGCUCCGGCUAAAUACGUG